This is a non-coding RNA of Cinara cedri, 242 nucleotides long. The record is from the annotation of a GenBank genome assembly. Lineage: Eukaryota; Metazoa; Arthropoda; Insecta; Hemiptera; Aphididae.
AGAUAUUAUUAUAUGCAAAUUAUUCAAACAUAUUUCAUGUAUACGAAGAAAAAAAAAUAAGAAAGUAUUGUCGUGUUUCCGGGAAAAAUAUUAUCUCGCGUCCGAAAUAUUCCAAACCGCGGCGGUGUUUUAUUGUAUCAUUUCCCGCGCAGCUACCGUCGUCGCGCGCUGUGUUUUACAAUCUGCGGUUUGCUUAUUUUUUCUAGCACGCAGUACACAAAGUCGAAAUGAAAAGUGAAUUA